Molecule: ribosomal RNA, 253 nt
Filed under: uncultured bacterium
Lineage: Bacteria
Description: partial 16S ribosomal RNA
Rfam family: Bacterial small subunit ribosomal RNA
Source: RNAcentral
UACGGAGGGUGCAAGCGUUGUUCGGAAUCAUUGGGCGUAAAGCGCGUGUAGGCGGCUAGGCAAGUCGGUUGUGAAAGCCCGGGGCCCAACCCCGGAACUGCAUCUGAAACUGCCUGGCUGGAGUCCCGGAGAGGAAGGCAGAAUUCCCGGUGUAGGGGUGAAAUCCGUAGAUAUCGGGAGGAAUACCAGCGGCGAAGGCGGCCUUCUGGACGGUGACUGACGCUGAGACGCGAAAGCGUGGGGAGCAAACAGG